Molecule: long non-coding RNA, 661 nt
Organism: Cydia splendana
Lineage: Eukaryota; Metazoa; Arthropoda; Insecta; Lepidoptera; Tortricidae
Exons: 3
Source: RefSeq, a predicted model, not a curated record
UAAAAAAGUGCUUCGUUUAAAUUUUAAUAAUUAUAAGCGCAUUUAAAGGUAAACUGCAACAUAAUUUAAGAGCAUAAAGAACUAUAAGUGAAGAUGAAAUGUGUUGUACACUGUGUGCUUGCGAUGUGUUUUUUGCUGGGCGUGUUCGUUGGCUUCAUAUACCUGAUGACCUUGGUGGAUCCAGGCCUGCUAGAGUUACGUGAGAAGGCAGCUGCCAUGAUGAGAGAAGACCGCGGGGAGCCGGCCUUGCCAGAGGUCACCAGCACUUUACUGCCGUCGGAAGACUACAUGGACGGCGAGACAGUGUUGAGAAGAAUGCUACCUAAGAGGCCCAUAUAUUAUUAGUAACGAAUGUAGCGAGGACUGUAUUGGUGUAGUGUAGCUAUAGUAUAUUCGGUGUAGUGAAUUAUUAAUUUAUAACAAAGUUUUUAAUAAUAAAUAGUAACAUUCUCAUACUUUAGCCUUGAAUUAUUUUAUAUCAAGUGUACACUACUAAUUAAUCAAUAAGAUAUAGACACAUGAAUGGCUUUUGAGCGGGUGCAUUACAUUUGUUAUAAUUACUUUUCAUAUAUUAUAGUUUGAUAUAUCGUUAUUUUGAAUAACGUAAUAAAUGCCAUAAUACCGUAAUACCUAAUUAACGGUAUACAUAAUGUUAUUAUUG